UUGCUUUGAUGGAUGGCGACCGGCGCACGGGUGAGUAACACGUAUCCAACCUGCCGACAACACUGGGAUAGCCUUUCGAAAGAAAGAUUAAUACCGGAUGGCAUAGUUUUCCCGCAUGGGAUAAUUAUUAAAGAAUUUCGGUUGUCGAUGGGGAUGCGUUCCAUUAGGCAGUUGGCGGGGUAACGGCCCACCAAACCAACGAUGGAUAGGGGUUCUGAGAGGAAGGUCCCCCACAUUGGAACUGAGACACGGUCCAAACUCCUACGGGAGGCAGCAGUGAGGAAUAUUGGUCAAUGGACGAGAGUCUGAACCAGCCAAGUAGCGUGAAGGAUGACUGCCCUAUGGGUUGUAAACUUCUUUUAUACGGGAAUAAAGUGAGCCACGUGUGGCUUUUUGUAUGUACCGUAUGAAUAAGGAUCGGCUAACUCCGUGCCAGCAGCCGCGGUAAUACGGAGGAUCCGAGCGUUAUCCGGAUUUAUUGGGUUUAAAGGGAGCGUAGGCGGGUUGUUAAGUCAGUUGUGAAAGUUUGCGGCUCAACCGUAAAAUUGCAGUUGAUACUGGCGACCUUGAGUGCAACAGAGGUAGGCGGAAUUCGUGGUGUAGCGGUGAAAUGCUUAGAUAUCACGAAGAACUCCGAUUGCGA
RNAcentral lists this ribosomal RNA (643 nucleotides) under uncultured Bacteroidales bacterium. RNAcentral's name for it is "bacterial SSU rRNA". It matches the Rfam family "Bacterial small subunit ribosomal RNA", at positions 76 to 718 of the family's 1533-position model. Lineage: Bacteria; Pseudomonadati; Bacteroidota; Bacteroidia; Bacteroidales. The record is from RNAcentral.